RNAcentral lists this ribosomal RNA (253 nucleotides) under uncultured bacterium. RNAcentral describes it as "partial 16S ribosomal RNA". It matches the Rfam family "Bacterial small subunit ribosomal RNA", at positions 524 to 776 of the family's 1533-position model. The record is from RNAcentral.
UACAGAGGUCUCAAGCGUUGUUCGGAUUCAUUGGGCGUAAAGGGUGCGUAGGUGGGCAAGUAAGUCAGUGGUGAAAUCUCCGGGCUUAACCCGGAAACUGCCAUUGAUACUAUUUGUCUUGAAUACUGUGGAGGUCAGCGGAAUAUGUCAUGUAGCGGUGAAAUGCUUAGAUAUGACAUAGAACACCAAUUGCGAAGGCAGCUGGCUACACAAAUAUUGACACUGAGGCACGAAAGCGUGGGGAUUAAACAGG